Molecule: ribosomal RNA, 460 nt
Filed under: uncultured bacterium
Lineage: Bacteria
Description: partial 16S ribosomal RNA
Rfam family: Bacterial small subunit ribosomal RNA
Source: RNAcentral
CCUACGGGAGGCAGCAGUGAGGAAUAUUGGUCAAUGGGCGGAAGCCUGAACCAGCCAAGUAGCGUGCAGGAUGACGGCCCUACGGGUUGUAAACUGCUUUUAUACGGGAAUAACGCGCCUUACGUGUAGGGCUUUGCAUGUACCGUAUGAAUAAGGACCGGCUACUUCCGUGCCAGCAGCCGCGGUAAUACGGAAGGUCCGGGCGUUAUCCGGGUUUAUUGGGUUUAAAGGGAGCGUAGGCCGCAUGUCAAGCGUGCUGUGAAAUGUCCGGGCGCAACCCGGGCCUUGCAGCGCGAACUGGCGUGCUUGAGUGCGCGGAAGGCAGGCGGAAUUCGUGGUGUAGCGGUGAAAUGCUUGGAUAUGACGAAGAACCCCGAUUGCGAAGGCAGCCUGCUGCAGCGGAACUGACGCUGAUGCUCGAAAGCGCGGGUAUCGAACAGGAUUAGAUACCCGUGUAGUC